GGGUCGCGUCGCCGCGCGUUGUAUCGGCGUCGUCUGCAACAACGUCAGCGAUUCGCGCGGAACACCCGAACAGACAUAGGUCGUGAAAUAUAGUUUUAAUUCACCGUGAGCCGGUUUUAAUAUUUGGUCGUGUACGCCGUCGUGACUUGGGAGCAUCGUGCGCGAGUGCACGGGCGUAGAGAAUUCAAUGGAAAGGAAGGCGGAAAAGGAAAAUUCGAUGGCUCGUGAAACUCGGCGGCCCGGUUUGACGGAAAGAACAUGGCCUAGAUGCAUGAAGACCACAAGUCUAGUAAUGAUGAUCAACAACACGAAUGUCUGAUGAGAUUAAUAAUAAAAUAAAUUGAUGGUAAUAGUU
Megalopta genalis is the source of this 355-nucleotide non-coding RNA. Lineage: Eukaryota; Metazoa; Arthropoda; Insecta; Hymenoptera; Halictidae. The record is from RefSeq and is a predicted model, not a curated record.